CAGGCCUAACACAUGCAAGUCGAGCGCGAAAGUUCCUUCGGGGGCGAUUAGAGCGGCGGACGGGUGAGUAACACGUAGGUAUCUACCUGGUAGUGGGGAAUAGCCCAGGGAAACCUGGAUUGAUACCGCAUAUGUUCUACGGAACAAAGGGAGCCUCUUCUUGAAAGCUCUCGCUACCAGAUGAACCUGCGCCGGAUUAGCUUGUUGGUGGGGUAAAAGCCCACCAAGGCGACGAUCCGUAGCUGGUCUUAGAGGAUGAUCAGCCACACUGGACUGAGACACGGCCCAGACUCCUACGGGAGGCAGCAGUAGGGAAUAUUGGACAAUGGGGGAAACCCUGAUCCAGCUAUACCGCGUGUGUGAAGAAGGCUCUAGGGUUGUAAAGCACUUUCAAUAGAGAUAAAAAGCCAAGCGUGAACAGCGUUUGGUGUUGAUAUUACCUAUACAAGAAGCACCGGCAAACUCCGUGCCAGCAGCCGCGGUAAUACGGAGGGUGCAAGCGUUAAUCGGAAUUACUGGGCGUAAAGCGCGCGUAGGUGGCUUGACAAGCCAGAUGUGAAAGCCCCGGGCUCAACCUGGGAACUGCACCUGGAACUGUUAGGCUAGAGUUUAGUAGAGGGUAUUGGAAUUUCCGAUGUAGCGGUGGAAUGCGUAGAUAUCGGAAAGAACACCAGUGGCGAAGGCGAAUGCCUGGGCUAAUACUGACACUGAUGUGCGAAAGCGUGGGGAGCAAACAGGAUUAGAUACCCU
RNAcentral lists this ribosomal RNA (750 nucleotides) under uncultured bacterium. Its description in RNAcentral is "bacterial SSU rRNA". It matches the Rfam family "Bacterial small subunit ribosomal RNA", at positions 43 to 788 of the family's 1533-position model. The record is from RNAcentral.